This 1795-nucleotide ribosomal RNA is filed under the name Durio zibethinus. Its description in RNAcentral is "SSU rRNA". The stretch from base 439 to 1795 matches the Rfam family "Eukaryotic small subunit ribosomal RNA", at positions 1 to 1585 of the family's 1831-position model. Lineage: Eukaryota; Viridiplantae; Streptophyta; Magnoliopsida; Malvales; Malvaceae. The record is from RNAcentral.
UAAUCCCUUGAUUUUAGCCUUUAUUCUAGGGAUAUUGCCAUUAAAUGUAGCUGGAGCCUCAACUAUAAAUAGAGGGCUGCUCCACCCUCAUUUGUACAUCAUCAAACACUUCUGUUUCAGUGAAUACAGAGCAUAUUUCUAGCAUUUUACCUUGUUAUCCUAUUUCUCUUUAACUUGCAUAAUCAGCCUUUCCCAUUGUUUUAGUGCCCGCACACUUGUGUUUUUGGUUGACUUAGGCAUAAAGAAGGAGAUUCCAAGCCUAAGGCUGUACGAAUUUUGAGUCUAAGGUCAAAGCCUAUGACAGUUGGUAUCAGAGCAAGUUUGGUUAUGCGUGUUUGUGAUGUGCAGGUUAGAUCGUGAUUGAGGAGAUGGCAUAUCAAAGCAACAUUGCUAGCCAACAACCAGACACCCAGGAGCAAAGGCAUGGAAGAGGCAGAAAAGCCAGUUCAAGAGAUAUAUGAUCUACCAUGGACGGUAGGCUGGCCAAGGUAGAGGUGAUUGGAAUGAGUACAAUCUAAAUCCCUUAACGAGGAUCCAUUGGAGGGUAAGUCUGGUGCCAAUAGCCGCAGUAAUUUCAGCUCCAAUAACGUAUAUUUAAGUUGUUGCAGUUAAAAAGCUCGUAGUUAGAACUAGCAUUGGGUCAUUCAGUCCAUCUCACGAUGAGCAUCGGUCUACUCAUCUCUGCUGCCGGUGAUGCGCUUCUAGACUUAAUUGCCCAGGUCAUUCCUUUGACGCUAUUACUUUGAAGAAAUUAGAGUGCUUAAAGCAGGCCUACGCUUGUAUACAUUAGCAUGGGAUAACAUCAUAGGAUUUUGAUCCUAUUGUGUUGGCCUUUGGGAUCGGAGUAAUGAUUAACAGGACCAGUCGAGGGCAUUCAUAUUUCAUAGUCAGAGGUGAAAUUCUUGGAUUUAUGAAAGAUGAACAACUGCGAAAGCAUUUGCCAAGGAUGUUUUCAUUAAUCAAGAAUGAAAGUUGAAGGCUCGAAGAUGAUCAGAUACCAUCCUAGUCUCAACCAUAAACAAUGUCGACCAGGGAUCGACAGAUGUUACUUUUAAGACUCCGUCAGCACCUUAUGAGAAAUCAAAGUCUUUAGGGUUUCGGGGUAGUAUGGUCGUAAGGCUAAAACUUAAAGGAAUUGAUGGAAGGGCACCACCAGGAAUGAAGCCUGCGGCUUAAUUUGACUCAACAUGGGGAAACUUACUAGGUCCAGAUAUAGUAAGGAUUGACAGACUGAGAGCUCUUUCUUGAUUCUAUGGGUGGUGGUGCAUGGCCAUUCUUAGUUGGUGGAGCGAUUUGUUUGGUUAAUUUCAUUAACGAACGAGACCUCAGCCUACUAACUAGCUACGUGGAGGUGAUCCUUCGUGGCUAGCUUCUUAGAGGGACUAUGACCACUUAGGCCAAGGAAGUUUGAGGCAAUAAUAGGUCUGUGAUGCCUUUAGAUGUUCUGGGUCGCACACGUGCUACGUUGAUAUAUUCAAGGGUGCCCCUGUGCCCUGAGCCCCUUCCGACCUUGGGCGGGUGCGACAGUCGCUUCGUGCCCCCUUCUAGGUGGGUGAAAUGAUCGGUGUCAUCUUGUUCGCUGUAUAACAAUGAACCCCCGACGAAAAUCAUGCCAGGGAACCAAAAUGAAAAUAGAACGCGUGUGCCAUCACUAUCCUGUUCACAGUGCAUGUGUGGGUGGCAUCGCGACUCCUUUUGUCAUGAAAAAAUGAAACGAAUCUCCGCAACGGAUAUCUAAGCUCUCACAUCGAUGAAGAACAUAGCAAAAUGUGAUACUUGGUGUGAAUUGCAAAAU